UACGUAGGGUGCGAGCGUUAAUCGGAAUUACUGGGCGUAAAGCGUGCGCAGGCGGCUUUGCAAGACAGAUGUGAAAUCCCCGGGCUCAACCUGGGAACUGCAUUUGUGACUGCAAGGCUAGAGUACGGCAGAGGGGGAUGGAAUUCCGCGUGUAGCAGUGAAAUGCGUAGACAUGCGGAGGAACACCAAUGGCGAAGGCAAUCCCCUGGGCCUGUACUGACGCUCAUGCACGAAAGCGUGGGGAGCAAACAGG
This 253-nucleotide ribosomal RNA is filed under the name uncultured bacterium. Its description in RNAcentral is "partial 16S ribosomal RNA". It matches the Rfam family "Bacterial small subunit ribosomal RNA", at positions 524 to 776 of the family's 1533-position model. The record is from RNAcentral.